Non-coding RNA from Pelobates cultripes (western spadefoot toad), 510 nucleotides. The record is from the annotation of a GenBank genome assembly. Lineage: Eukaryota; Metazoa; Chordata; Amphibia; Anura; Pelobatidae.
AGGGAAUGUACUGCCAAGAUGACAGGGUUAAGCAUGAUGUCAUAGCUCUCUCUACGCUAGGUGGAUUUGACAACCCCUUAGUUAUAGCUAGAUGAGGACUUGAUAUUCACCAAGUAAUCUCCAACUUGUACCACUUAAAGCAAAAUCUAUCUUAAAUCACACUAAAGUUUAGCCUGGUUCACUUCUGUGGUAUUCCCAAUUAUAUGGCUGCUCACAAGCAAUUAGGGCUGGCUCACCUGCCUCGCUAACUAGAGCUCAAUGCGAAGCAUCUUGUUUUCUUAAGUUUUUCUUUUUUUUCAUAUUUACCAAGUACAAUCUCUGCCAGAGAAUAGAUCUCGCCUAUUUGUCAGAUAAUUUUGUAAGUUAAGUCUGCAGGCACUGUGUAAUUUUUUUUCAUAGUUUCAGUUACGGCACCCCCAGGCAUAAAAGGGUUAAACCGCUGUUUAGAGGAUAUUCCCUUCCAGAUAUACAGGCAGCUACUGUAGACACCAAGCCAACAAACUGGACAAG